GAUGAACGCUGGCGGCGUGCCUAAUACAUGCAAGUCGAGCGAACAGACCAGGCGCUUGCUCCUCUGACGUUAGCGGCGGACGGGUGUGUCACACGUGGAUAACCUACCUAUAUUUCUGGUAUAUCUUCGGGAAUCCGGGGCUUAUCCCGGAUAAUAUAUUGAUCCGUAUUGUUCAUUAGUGAAAGUCGGUUUUUCUGUCUCUUCUAGCUGGUUCCGCGCGGCUUUAGCUAGUUGUUAAGGUAACGGCUUACCAAGGCAACGAUGCGUAGCCGACCUGAGAGGGGGAUCGGCCACACGGGAACGGAGACAGGGACCAGACGCCUACGGGAGGCAGCAGUAGGGAAUCGGCGGCAAUGGGCGAAAGCAUGACGGAGCAACGGCGCGUGAGAGAUGAAGGUCGUCGGAUCGUAAAACUCUGUUAUGAGGGAAGAACAAAUGUGUAAGUAACUAUGCACGGAGUGACGGUACCGAAUCAGAAAGCAACGGCUAACUACGUG
RNAcentral lists this ribosomal RNA (497 nucleotides) under uncultured bacterium. Its description in RNAcentral is "partial 16S ribosomal RNA". It matches the Rfam family "Bacterial small subunit ribosomal RNA", at positions 28 to 507 of the family's 1533-position model. The record is from RNAcentral.